AAAUGAAUUAUUCGCCGAGCUUUUCUAGCUAAAUCUUUUUUUAGAAUGCUAUUUAAGCCGUGGUUAAUAGUAAUUUUGCUAUAACCACCAGGGUUAACAAGGAAACUUGUUAGCCUCCCUACAUUUGGAAAGGUGAGAUGUUAACAGACAA
RNAcentral lists this non-coding RNA (151 nucleotides) under Colwellia sp. RNAcentral's name for it is "MoCo sequence". It matches the Rfam family "Molybdenum/Tungsten riboswitch aptamer (Moco RNA motif)". The record is from RNAcentral. Lineage: Bacteria; Pseudomonadati; Pseudomonadota; Gammaproteobacteria; Alteromonadales; Colwelliaceae. RNAcentral also lists the same sequence under 1 other name.